GCCGCGUGUGUGACGAAGGCCUUAGGGUUGUAAAGCACUUUCGCCCGCGAGGAUGAUGACGGUAGCGGGAGAAGAAGCCCCGGCUAACUCCGUGCCAGCAGCCGCGGUAAUACGGAGGGGGCGAGCGUUGUUCGGAAUUACUGGGCGUAAAGGGCGUGUAGGCGGCCUUGUCAGUCAGGCGUGAAAUCCCCGGGCUCAACCUGGGACGUGCGCUUGAUACUGCAGGGCUUGAGAGCGAGAGAGGUAAGCGGAAUUCCCAGUGUAGAGGUGAAAUUCGUAGAUAUUGGGAAGAACACCGGUGGCGAAAGCGGCUUACUGGCUCGUUUCUGACGCUGAGGCGCGAAAGCGUGGGGAGCGAACAGGAUUAGAUACCCUGGUAGUCCACGCCGUAAACGAUGUGUGCCAGACGUCGGGGG
RNAcentral lists this ribosomal RNA (416 nucleotides) under uncultured Alphaproteobacteria bacterium. RNAcentral's name for it is "bacterial SSU rRNA". It matches the Rfam family "Bacterial small subunit ribosomal RNA", at positions 396 to 829 of the family's 1533-position model. The record is from RNAcentral. Lineage: Bacteria; Pseudomonadati; Pseudomonadota; Alphaproteobacteria.